GCGGCGUGGAUUAGGCAUGCAAGUCGAGCGGGAUCCAUGGAAUUCAAUUCUUCGGAAAAGAUUUCUGUGGUGAGAGCGGCGAACGGGUGAGUAAUGCGCAGACAACUUGCCCUCGGGUCAGGGAUAGCCCCCCGAAAGGGGGAUUAAUACCGGAUAUGGUCGCCUCGCGCAUGCGGGGUUAUCCAAAGGUGCCUGUUUACAGGUGUCGCCCGAGGAUGGGUUUGCGUUCUAUCAGCUUGUUGGCGGGGUAACGGCCCACCAAGGCAAUGACGGAUAGCUGGUCUGAGAGGAUGGUCAGCCACACUGGGACUGAGACACUGCCCAGACUCCUACGGGAGGCUGCAGUCGAGAAUCAUUCGCAAUGCGCGCAAGCGUGACGAUGCGACGCCGCGUGGAGGAUGAAGGCCUUCGGGUUGUAAACUCCUGUCAUGAGGGAACAAAGCUUGCGGGUUAAUACCCCGUGAGUGUGAUGGUACCUCAAGAGGAAGUCACGGCUAACUCUGUGCCAGCAGCCGCGGUAAUACAGAGGUGGCAAGCGUUGUCCGGAUUUACUGGGCGUAAAGGGUGCGCAGGCGGUUCGGUAUGUCGGAUGUGAAAUCUCACGGCUCAACCGUGAAAGGUCAUUCGAAACUGCCGGACUAGAGUACUGGAGAGGAGAGCGGAAUUCUUGGAGUAGCGGUGAAAUGCGUAGAUAUCAAGAAGAACACCGGUGGCGAAGGCGGCUCUCUGGACAGUUACUGACGCUGAGGCACGAAAGCCAGGGUAGCGAAGAGGAUUAGAUACCCUCGUAGUCCUGGCCGUAAACGAUGUGCACUUGGUGUGGG
This 824-nucleotide ribosomal RNA is filed under the name uncultured organism. Its description in RNAcentral is "bacterial SSU rRNA". It matches the Rfam family "Bacterial small subunit ribosomal RNA", at positions 39 to 826 of the family's 1533-position model. The record is from RNAcentral.